AAACCAACAGGGAUUACCUCAGUAACGGCGAGUGAAGCGGUAACAGCUCAAAUUUGAAAUCUGGCCUCACGGUCCGAGUUGUAAUUUGUAGAGGAUGCUUCGGGCGUGGUCCGGUCUAAGUUCCUUGGAACAGGACGUCAUAGAGGGUGAGAAUCCCGUAUGUGACCGGGUGCCGCUGUCCAUGUGAAGCUCCUUCGACGAGUCGAGUUGUUUGGGAAUGCAGCUCAAAAUGGGUGGUAAAUUUCAUCUAAAGCUAAAUAUUGGCCAGAGACCGAUAGCGCACAAGUAGAGUGAUCGAAAGAUGAAAAGCACUUUGGAAAGAGAGUUAAACAGUACGUGAAAUUGUUGAAAGGGAAGCGCUUGCAACCAGACUUGCACGCGGUCGAUCAUCCUGCCUUCUGGCUGGUGCACUCGAUCGCGUUCAGGCCAGCAUCGGUUUUGGUGGUUGGAUAAAGGCUCUGGGAAUGUAGCUUCUCUCGGGGAGUGUUAUAGCCCAGGGUGCAAUGCAGCCUACCGGGACCGAGGACCGCGCUUCGGCUAGGAUGCUGGCGUAAUGGUUGUAAGCGACCCGUCUUGA
RNAcentral lists this ribosomal RNA (577 nucleotides) under Ascomycota sp. Its description in RNAcentral is "eukaryotic LSU rRNA". It matches the Rfam family "Eukaryotic large subunit ribosomal RNA", at positions 62 to 657 of the family's 3401-position model. The record is from RNAcentral. Lineage: Eukaryota; Fungi; Ascomycota.